Molecule: ribosomal RNA, 270 nt
Filed under: uncultured archaeon
Lineage: Archaea
Description: partial 16S ribosomal RNA
Rfam family: Archaeal small subunit ribosomal RNA
Source: RNAcentral
CAGCUCUUCAAGUGGUCGGGAAUAUUAUUGGGCUUAAAGUUUCCGUAGCCGGUUUGAUAAGUUCCUGGUUAAAUCUGGCAGCUUAACUGUCAGUUGGCUAGGAAUACUAUCUUACUAGAGGGUGGGAAAGGUCUGGGGUACUCCAGGGGUAGCGGUGAAAUGCUAUAAUCCUUGGGGGACCACCAGUGGCGAAGGCGCCAGACUGGAACACGCCUGACGGUGAGGGACGAAAGCCAGGGGAGCGAACGGGAUUAGAGACCCGAGUAGUCC